RNAcentral lists this ribosomal RNA (314 nucleotides) under Nanhermannia comitalis. RNAcentral's name for it is "eukaryotic LSU rRNA". It matches the Rfam family "Eukaryotic large subunit ribosomal RNA", at positions 666 to 944 of the family's 3401-position model. Lineage: Eukaryota; Metazoa; Arthropoda; Arachnida; Sarcoptiformes; Nanhermanniidae. The record is from RNAcentral.
CCAAGGAGACUAACAUGUGCGCGAGUCACUCGGUCUUGAAUAGGCCAGAGAGGCGCAAUGAAAGUAAAGUUGAUUGAGUUACGAUCCCUAUGCAGUCACUCGUAUGGGUGACGGUGGGGCGCAGUAACAGCCCGCCAAUUUCGCUUAUUGACGAUAKGGCGGAGUUGUAGCGUACACGUUGGUACCCGAAAGAUGGUGAACUAUGCCUGGGCAAGACGAAGCCAGAGGAAACUCUGGUGGAGGUCUGUAGCGAUUCUGACGUGCAAAUCGAUCGUCAGACCUGGGUAUAGGGGCNAAAGACUAAUCGAACCAUC